CCGAGUGCUGUCCCCCCCGGUCCGCCGGGCGGGGGCACUGCCUCCCACCCUUCGUCUACUAUCCUGUUGCUUCGGCGGGCCCGCCCUUGGGCCGCCGGGGGGAUUUUUUUCCCCCGGCCCGCGCCCGCCGGAGACACCUCAGAACACUGCAUGAAUUGUUGCCGUCUGAGUCUUUAUCAAAUAUAUA
This 187-nucleotide unclassified non-coding RNA is filed under the name uncultured Eurotiales. RNAcentral describes it as "sequence contains ITS1". The record is from RNAcentral. Lineage: Eukaryota; Fungi; Ascomycota; Eurotiomycetes; Eurotiales.